CCCAUGAGCCAAAGAACCAAAUAG
Molecule: small nuclear RNA, 24 nt
Filed under: Arabidopsis thaliana (thale cress)
Lineage: Eukaryota; Viridiplantae; Streptophyta; Magnoliopsida; Brassicales; Brassicaceae
Description: snRNA_15511
Source: RNAcentral